AGUCGGUGCUGUACGACUUGCCUCGACACGUCUCUGGCGAACUGUUGGCUAUGCAGCGCAGUAAAUACAUCCUUAGCAUACCUUUCAUGAAGUAUGUUCACGCAAAAGACUUAAUGGACGUGUCGUCUGGUGCGCGGCUGUUCCAUACCUCGCCCAACGAGAUCCUCCUUAGCACCGGUGACAUCAGCAACGAAAUGUACAUCAUCAAGCAGGGAAUGUGCGAGGUUAUAAACCCCAUCACUAAGAACG
Hyposmocoma kahamanoa is the source of this 249-nucleotide long non-coding RNA. RefSeq lists it as uncharacterized. The record is from RefSeq and is a predicted model, not a curated record. NCBI's taxonomy places the organism in Eukaryota, Metazoa, Arthropoda, Insecta, Lepidoptera, Cosmopterigidae. The transcript is spliced from 3 exons.